CGGGCUGGCCGGGCGACCGCGUGGAGGCAACUCCCCGAGGAAGGUCCGGGCUCCACAGGGCAAGGUGGUGGGUAACACCCACCCGGGGCAACCUGCGGGACAGUGCCACAGAAAACAGACCGCCUCCCAGCGCUCCGCGCCGGGCGGUAAGGAUGAAACGGCGGUGUAAGAGACCACCAGCGGUCGGGGCGACCCGGCCGGCUAGGCAAACCCCACCUGGAGCAAGAUCAAGAAGUUCGGAGCCCCCAGGCCCCGAACGCGCGUACGUCCGAGGGCUGCCCGCCCGAGUACGCGGGUAGAUCGCUGGAGGCGGCCGGCAACGGUCGUCGUAGAUGGAUGGUCGCCACGCUUCGGCGUACAGAACCCGGCCUACAGGCCAGCCCGUCGC
RNAcentral lists this RNase P RNA (388 nucleotides) under Nocardioides sp. Root1257. RNAcentral's name for it is "Bacterial RNase P class A". It matches the Rfam family "Bacterial RNase P class A". Rfam says of the family: Ribonuclease P (RNase P) is a ubiquitous endoribonuclease, found in archaea, bacteria and eukarya as well as chloroplasts and mitochondria. Lineage: Bacteria; Bacillati; Actinomycetota; Actinomycetes; Propionibacteriales; Nocardioidaceae. RNAcentral also lists the same sequence under 1 other name. The record is from Rfam by way of RNAcentral.